UACGUAGGGUCCGAGCGUUGUCCGGAGUUACUGGGCGUAAAGCGCGCGCCGGCGGCGGUGUUGGCCCGGCGUGAAAGCCCCCGGCUCAACCGGGGAGAGUCGUCGGGGACCGCACCGCUUGAGGGCGGUAGGGGCUGGUGGAAUGCCUGGUGUAGUGGUGAAAUGCGUAGAGAUCAGGCAGAACACCUGGGGCGAAGGCGGCCAGCUGGGCCGUCCCUGACGCUGAGGCGCGAAGGCGUGGGGAGCGAACGGG
Molecule: ribosomal RNA, 253 nt
Filed under: uncultured bacterium
Lineage: Bacteria
Description: partial 16S ribosomal RNA
Rfam family: Bacterial small subunit ribosomal RNA
Source: RNAcentral